AUACGGAGGGGGCUAGCGUUGUUCGGAAUUACUGGGCGUAAAGCGCACGUAGGCGGAUUAAAAAGUUAGAGGUGAAAUCCCAGGGCUUAACCCUGGAACUGCCUUUAAAACUAGUAGUCUAGAGUUCGAGAGAGGUGAGUGGAAUUCCAAGUGUAGAGGUGAAAUUCGUAGAUAUUUGGAGGAACACCAGUGGCGAAGGCGGCUCACUGGCUCGAUACUGACGCUGAAGUGCGAAAGCGUGGGGAGCAAACAGGAUUAGAAACCCCGGUAGUCC
Molecule: ribosomal RNA, 274 nt
Filed under: uncultured bacterium
Lineage: Bacteria
Description: partial 16S ribosomal RNA
Rfam family: Bacterial small subunit ribosomal RNA
Source: RNAcentral